RNAcentral lists this transfer RNA (88 nucleotides) under Burkholderiaceae bacterium. Its description in RNAcentral is "tRNA-Thr". Lineage: Bacteria; Pseudomonadati; Pseudomonadota; Betaproteobacteria; Burkholderiales; Burkholderiaceae. The record is from RNAcentral.
CAUUCGGUGCGACACCGGUGGUGUCGGGCGCCUGGUAGGCGCCGCUGCCGGCAAUGAUGGAAGCGACGAACGUGCCGUGGCCGUAGGG